This 429-nucleotide ribosomal RNA is filed under the name Gemmatimonadota bacterium. Its description in RNAcentral is "Gemmatimonadetes bacterium partial 16S ribosomal RNA". It matches the Rfam family "Bacterial small subunit ribosomal RNA", at positions 355 to 776 of the family's 1533-position model. The record is from RNAcentral. Lineage: Bacteria; Pseudomonadati; Gemmatimonadota.
UAGGGAAUCUUCGGCAAUGGACGAAAGUCUGACCGAGCAACGCCGCGUGAGUGAAGAAGGCUUUCGGAUCGUAAAACUCUGUUGUUAGAGAAGAACAAGGACGUUAGUAACUGAACGUCCCCUGACGGUAUCUAACCAGAAAGCCACGGCUAACUACGUGCCAGCAGCCGCGGUAAUACGUAGGUGGCAAGCGUUGUCCGGAAUUAUUGGGCGUAAAGCGAGCGCAGGCGGUUUCUUAAGUCUGAUGUGAAAGCCCCCGGCUCAACCGGGGAGGGUCAAUGGAAACUGGGAGGCUUGAGUGCAGAAGAGGAGGGUGGAAUUCCAUGUGUAGCGGUGAAAUGCGUAGAUAUAUGGAGGAACACCAGUGGCGAAGGCGGCUCUCUGGUCUGUAACUGACGCUGAGGCUCGAAAGCGUGGGGAGCAAACAGG